Molecule: ribosomal RNA, 351 nt
Filed under: Triticum aestivum (bread wheat)
Lineage: Eukaryota; Viridiplantae; Streptophyta; Magnoliopsida; Poales; Poaceae
Description: partial small subunit ribosomal RNA
Source: RNAcentral
AUGCAGCAGGACGGCCGCCUCGGCCUCGCAUGGCUUGGAGCGACGACGAGCUCCGGUGACCUUCCGAAGGCAAUGGCGACUACAAUGGGUACGGCUUUGGCGAUGGCUUUGACGACACCAACUAGCAGCCCCUGCUCUCCCCUGUUCUGUUAUGUCACUUAUGCUGUAUGUAUCCCUGUGAAAAGAAGCUACAUAUCUCUUCUUCCUAUGUUUAUUUGUUUGGGAUGCAUUGAGGUCUUGUAUGCCGUAGCAAUGAUGCUUUGUUGGGUGCUCGUUUUGUAUUGGAGUUGUUUGAGACGCAAGGUUGUGUUGAUUACACCAUUCAAACUUGAGAUUCCUCAGCUGUGUUAG